UUGCACAAUUGGUGGCUGACUAAAUACUUUUUUGCCCCACUGUAUAUUAUAUUACUUAUCAUAUCUUUCCGCACACAGCAAAUGUCAGGGCUGUGGUAUCAUAACCGUACCAACCACCCAGAGGUGUUUGCAGGACAGACCCACCGACAGCUCAAGUCUCUGAUGCAGUGCAGUGUAUGUUGUAAGUUCUUCCCUAGUGCCAGGAGCCUGGCCAAGCACCAGAGGAACCCAGGUGAGGACACCCACAGCUGGGGAGAGACCCAGGAAAGGCUUCCAGACCUAACCUACCCUGUCCAUGCUAUUACAUUACAACCACCUCCCCUUUUAUUUGCUUGGGUACACAACUGACGUAAUAUCUUCUUAUUGUUGUUGUUGGAUUAGUGUUGUCCAUCCCUGUUAAGGAAAAUGCCAUUUGGGGUUUUCAUCUCAAAUUAUGUAUUUGUAUUAUGUAUUCCUUCCAAUCCCUUGUGUCUCCUAAAGGCAUGUUUGAUUCUGACGUGCUGCUGGUGGGGAAUCCAGAUCUGCCAUCAGACUCGUCAGUGGUGAAGUGCCUGUACUGCCCCAGCUUGUUCCCCCAGCGAGGCUGAGAUGCAGGAGCACGCCAGCACCGAGCAUUUCAGCCAGGAGGGGGCAGUGUUCGGCUGCUCUCUGCCUGCUGGUYUGCCCCUGCCAGCUGCAGCUCCAGGAGCACUUGCUCUCCUGCUACAUAGGGGCGCUAGAGGAGCAGGAGCAGGCCUCCACCUCCCAGAAGACAGAGGAGGACACUGCUGGUGGAGCAGAACAAAUGAUCUCUGUGGACCAAUCCCAGCAGGUGUUUGUUGCCCUGGGAGACGGAGAGGAUGGUCUCUCAAGCACRGAGGUGAUGGCGGUUAAUGUGGAGGACCUACUGAACGGAACCGUCACCUUUAUAUGUGGAGGUGACCUCUGGCCCCUAGUCUCUACUUCCUGGAGAAGGAGGAACUGUACUUCUCAAUAGUGGCAGCUUGGAAUGAAUGAAACAAACUUGACACUGGUAAUGCCACUGGUUUUGUAUCCUGUAAGAGCUGUAAAUAUUGAGAUGGUGUGUACACUUAUACACUAAGUGACAAAGCGUAACCUUUGAACCCUCAGGAUUGGUGUCUUUUUAUUAAUAAUCAGUCACUCUGUUAUUGCCCUGUGUAGAGCUGUAUAUGAAUCUUUCUGUAUUUAUUUCCUUUUGAACUGGCGUGUGAAGGUUUGGUUGAUAAAUCUGUGAAAUCCAGCACCGUAUGAGUUUUUUAUUUUUUUUAAAUACUACUUUCCAGAAUCUUUAAAUAAUAUUUACCUACAGUAGAAUUAUUCCUCAAACAAAUAAUGGGAUUCAAGGUUUUUAUUGAGACACCACACAUCAGCACGUUCACAGCAACCUUAGAGUUCUGUCUAUGGCCGCGAGCUUACAUUAAUGGUUCACUAGACGGAAUCAUAGCGCAGCGUUAGUCAGUCUGGUGUAUAUACACGCUUGACUGAGGAGGUAUGAGGUAUGUGCCUCCUUAAA
Molecule: long non-coding RNA, 1513 nt
Organism: Salvelinus sp. IW2-2015
Lineage: Eukaryota; Metazoa; Chordata; Actinopteri; Salmoniformes; Salmonidae
Source: RefSeq, a predicted model, not a curated record